AUGAAUAGUGCAGGAGCUAGCAAAGCUGUCACUCGCCGUAUGGAACACCAACGUGGGAAGGUGGAAGCACAAAUAGAAGCUGCUCUUUCUUCCUCGCCCACGACGGAUCAAGCGUCUCGGUCAUUGGCUUGGCAGCGAUGCAACACAUCGUCUCACCAGCACAACUUCUCCCCAUCGGCACAGGUUCGGCGACGCCCCCCUUUCCAUGUCGGUAUUACAUCGGUCUCUGGUGCAGCGGUGCGCGUUCUGGUUCUUUUUUUCCGCUUGCAAAAAAUAAGCUUUCUAAGCACAAGACUCUUUAGCUUACUGAAAACUGUCUUACCCACAAAACUUCUUGCAGAUAUCUAA
RNAcentral lists this ribosomal RNA (348 nucleotides) under Triticum aestivum (bread wheat). RNAcentral's name for it is "partial small subunit ribosomal RNA". The record is from RNAcentral. Lineage: Eukaryota; Viridiplantae; Streptophyta; Magnoliopsida; Poales; Poaceae.